Molecule: transfer RNA, 76 nt
Filed under: Undibacterium sp. KW1
Lineage: Bacteria; Pseudomonadati; Pseudomonadota; Betaproteobacteria; Burkholderiales; Oxalobacteraceae
Description: tRNA-Phe
Rfam family: tRNA
About the family: Transfer RNA (tRNA) molecules are approximately 80 nucleotides in length. Their secondary structure includes four short double-helical elements and three loops (D, anti-codon, and T loops).
Source: RNAcentral
GUGUCUCAAGCUAACCAGGUGAAAGCGCCGUUUUGAAGAAUCGGAGAGCGUGGAUCGUUACCACGGGGACGCACCA